Non-coding RNA from Gorgonomyces haynaldii, 72 nucleotides. Lineage: Eukaryota; Fungi; Chytridiomycota; Chytridiomycetes; Rhizophydiales; Gorgonomycetaceae. The record is from the annotation of a GenBank genome assembly.
AGCGGGGUAGCGCAGUGGUAGCGCGUUGGGCCCAUAACCCAAAGGUCGGUGGAUCAAAACCACUCUCCGCUA